This 564-nucleotide ribosomal RNA is filed under the name Talaromyces sp. HD-2014. RNAcentral describes it as "eukaryotic LSU rRNA". The stretch from base 203 to 356 matches the Rfam family "5.8S ribosomal RNA". The record is from RNAcentral. Lineage: Eukaryota; Fungi; Ascomycota; Eurotiomycetes; Eurotiales; Trichocomaceae.
CCGAAGCGACUGCGGACGACAUUACCGAGUGCGGGCCCUCGUGGCCCAACCUCCCACCCUUGUCUCUAUACACCUGUUGCUUUGGCGGGCCCACCGGGGCCACCUGGUCGCCGGGGGACAUCUGUCCCCGGGCCCGCGCCCGCCGAAGCGCUCUGUGAACCCUGAUGAAGAUGGGCUGUCUGAGUACUAUGAAAAUUGUCAAAACUUUCAACAAUGGAUCUCUUGGUUCCGGCAUCGAUGAAGAACGCAGCGAAAUGCGAUAAGUAAUGUGAAUUGCAGAAUUCCGUGAAUCAUCGAAUCUUUGAACGCACAUUGCGCCCCCUGGCAUUCCGGGGGGCAUGCCUGUCCGAGCGUCAUUUCUGCCCUCAAGCACGGCUUGUGUGUUGGGUGCGGUCCCCCCGGGGACCUGCCCGAAAGGCAGCGGCGACGUCCGUCUGGUCCUCGAGCGUAUGGGGCUUUGUCACUCGCUCGGGAAGGACUGGCGGGGGUUGGUCACCACCAAAAUUUUACCACGGUUGACCUCGGAUCAGGUAGGAGUUACCCGCUGAACUUAAGCAUAUCAAA